This is an RNA transcript of Mustela lutreola (European mink), 5020 nucleotides long. It is a transcript of the gene named signal transducer and activator of transcription 1, with no coding region annotated. The transcript is spliced from 26 exons. Lineage: Eukaryota; Metazoa; Chordata; Mammalia; Carnivora; Mustelidae. The record is from RefSeq and is a predicted model, not a curated record.
CCGCUACUUUCGGUUUUCUUCAGAGUCGGCCGCGGGCCCCGAGCUCCCGGAACGACGCCGGUCCGACCCCAGACCCUGCAGAGGUGAAGCGGGUGCGGCGACCCGAGACAGGCAGCCCCGCGGCGCCUCCGCCCUCCGCUGCCCGACCCGGCGCGCAGAAAGUGACCGUUUGCGUGCGGCGUCGCGGGACAGCCGCCCCGGCCGGACGCUCGCGCCUGUGCAUGCGCCCCCCGCCCCUCGCGUGCGCGGCGGCCGCUCGGCUUGGGUCCUCAGCCCCGCGGCGGGACGCGAGGCGACAGGAUGUCGCAGUGGUACGAGCUGCAGCAGCUUGACUCCAAAUUCCUGGAGCAGGUUCACCAGCUCUACGAUGACAGUUUUCCCAUGGAAAUCAGACAGUACCUGGCACAGUGGCUAGAAAAACAAGACUGGGAGCAUGCUGCUAAUGACGUUUCAUUUGCCACCAUCCGUUUUCAUGACCUCCUGUCCCAGCUGGAUGAUCAGUAUAGUCGCUUUUCUUUGGAGAAUAAUUUUUUGUUGCAGCAUAACAUAAGGAAAAGCAAGCGUAAUCUUCAGGAUAAUUUUCAGGAAGACCCAGUACAGAUGUCUAUGAUCAUCUGUAACUGUCUGAAGGAAGAAAGGAGGAUCCUGGAAAAUGCUCAGAGAUUCAAUCAGGCGCAGUCGGGGAGUAUCCAGAGCACUGUGAUGUUAGACAAACAGAAGGAGCUGGACAGCAAAGUCAGAAAUGUGAAGGAUAAGGUUAUGUGUAUAGAGCAUGAAAUAAAGACCUUAGAAGAUUUACAAGACGAGUAUGACUUCAAGUGCAAAACCUUGCAGAACAGAGAGCAUGAAACCAAUGGCGUGGCAAAGAAUGAUCAGAAACAAGAACAGUUGUUAAUCCAGAAGAUGUAUUUAAUGCUCGACAAUAAGAGAAAGGAAGUAGUUCUCAAAAUAAUAGAGUUGUUGAAUGUCACGGAACUUACCCAGAAAGCCCUCAUCAAUGAUGAGCUGGUGGAAUGGAAGCAGAGACAACAGAGCGCCUGUAUCGGGGGGCCCCCCAACGCUUGUCUUGAUCAGCUGCAGAACUGGUUCACCAUAGUUGCGGAGAGUCUGCAGCAGGUGCGUCAGCAGCUGAAAAAGCUCGAGGAGCUGGAACAGAAAUACACCUAUGAACACGACCCUAUCACAAAAAACAAACAAGGCCUGUGGGACCGCACCUUCAGCCUUUUCCAGCAGCUCAUUCAGAGCUCAUUUGUGGUGGAAAGACAGCCUUGCAUGCCAACUCAUCCUCAGAGGCCGCUGGUCUUGAAGACCGGGGUCCAGUUCACCGUGAAGUUGAGACUGCUGGUGAAAUUGCAAGAGCUGAAUUAUAAUUUGAAAGUCAAAGUCUUAUUUGAUAAAGAUGUGAAUGAGAGGAAUACAGUAAAAGGAUUCAGGAAGUUCAACAUUUUGGGCACGCACACGAAAGUGAUGAACAUGGAGGAGUCCACCAAUGGGAGUCUGGCGGCGGAGUUCCGGCACCUGCAACUGAAGGAACAGAAAAAUGCUGGCACCAGAACUAACGAGGGCCCUCUCAUCGUUACUGAGGAGCUUCACUCCCUCAGUUUUGAGACCCAGCUGUGCCAGCCUGGUUUGGUCAUUGACCUCGAGACGACCUCUCUGCCCGUUGUGGUGAUCUCCAACGUCAGCCAGCUGCCGAGUGGUUGGGCCUCCAUCCUGUGGUACAACAUGCUGGUGACAGAACCCCGGAAUCUGUCCUUCUUCUUGAACCCACCUUGUGCACGAUGGUCUCAGCUCUCGGAGGUACUCAGCUGGCAGUUUUCUUCUGUCACCAAAAGAGGUCUCAAUGUGGACCAGCUCAACAUGCUCGGAGAGAAACUACUCGGUCCUAAUGCUGGCCCUGAUGGUCUCAUUCCAUGGACAAGGUUCUGUAAGGAAAACAUAAAUGAUAAAAAUUUUCCCUUCUGGCUUUGGAUUGAAAGCAUCCUUGAACUCAUUAAAAAACACCUGCUCUCUCUCUGGAAUGAUGGGUGUAUCGUGGGCUUCAUCAGCAAGGAGCGGGAGCGCGCGCUGCUGAAGGACCAGCAACCCGGGACGUUCCUGCUGCGCUUCAGCGAAAGCUGCCGUGAAGGCGCCAUCACGUUCACGUGGGUGGAGCGCCCGCAGAACGGAGGAGAACCUCACUUCCAUGCCGUUGAGCCCUACACAAAGAAAGAACUUUCUGCUGUUACUUUCCCUGACAUUAUUCGCAAUUACAAGGUUAUGGCUGCUGAAAAUAUUCCAGAGAAUCCCCUGAAGUAUCUGUAUCCGAAUAUUGAUAAAGACCAUGCCUUUGGGAAAUACUACUCCAGGCCAAAGGAAGCCCCAGAACCAAUGGAACUCGAUGGCCCUAAAGGAACUGGAUACAUCAAGACAGAGUUGAUUUCUGUGUCUGAAGUUCAUCCCUCUCGACUUCAGACCACAGACAACCUGCUCCCCAUGUCUCCCGAGGAGUUUGACGAGGUGUCACGGAUAGUGGGUUCUGUCGAGUUCGACAGUAUGAUGAAUGCAGUAUAGAGCAUGAAUUUUUCUCAUCUUCUCUGGCGACAUUUUUCCUUCCCAUCUGUGAUUCCCUCCUGCGCUCUGUUCCUUCACAUCCUAUGUUUCUAGGGAAAUGAAACAAAGACGAACAAAUUUGCUGCAACCUGUUGAUAGCAAGUGGAUUUUCCCCAAAUUCAGAAACGUCUGUUACUCUGAAAGGCUUCAUGCAUCUAAAGAAAGCUCUGCCCCAUCUUCAAGAAUCAACACUUCCAUCUUCUUCAUGCCCUGAACCACACAGCCUCCCUCCAACUCCUCAACUCAUUCUCAGCAGAAGGCCUCUUCGUACUCUUUAGCAAAAUGGAAACCCAUUGGUAACUUCAACUUCUCCCUACCAUGUCUGCAGACCUACUUACCAACCUCUCAAUGUCCUAAUUUAUUGGAAGAGAUGCUUUUUUUCCCACCAAACCCAAUCCCCCACUUGGGCUGAGAGCUCCGUUUCUUUCUAGAGAUAUCACUUUGCUGGUCAUUUCCGCUCUCCUGUAUCUAUUUCAAAUUCUCCUUCUUUACUGGGAUUUUUUCAAUCAGGAGCAAAACCUGCUCUACUCCAAUAGUUCUCUGACCUUUAAAUCUGAAAGCCAAGAAAAUUUCCUUAACUGGGGAGGAGAUGACCAGUAUGGACUGCCGAUUUUUAAAAAAUUUUCUGAGCACAUACAGUAAAAUAGUGCCACCAUCUACAGAUAUCAUUUACUAAAUAAAAGGGCAUUUUAACACCAAAAGAAAAGUAGGAAAAAUGUAAUGUAAAUGGAUACCCCUCAUUUUACUUAAUGCUAAUCUGCUUUGGUAUAGUUGACUGUUCCAAAUUUCUUAAAAUACUCCUUCCUUGACUUCUACUGUAUGAUGCUGGAUUUUCUUCUAAUGGGACAUUUGUCCCUAGUGGGAGACUUGCGUACUAUACUACUUUUAAAAUGGGAGUCUCUUAUGGUUCCCUCUCAUUCUGCACUGUCUUCUGGAGCAUUCUCACACAGCUUGACAGUUUCAAAUCUACUCUCUCCAUGCUAACAACUUACAGAAAUAUAUCUCCAACUCAGACCACUCUCCUAAGUAUUUAGGCCUAUAUCUGAUACUCAACAUCACUACUUGGGUAUCUCAUAAAUAUAAAUAUAGCAAAUGGAAGUUAGUUUUCUCCCACUGCCAAUUGCCUAUCUAUGAUCUAUCUAUUCCCUACCCCAUUCAUGCAAAAGAAUCUCUACUAAUUAAGGAUAGCAAUGUGCCAGAUUAAAAUUCUUCCCUAGAUUCCCCUGUAGCUACUCUGGCAAGUAUCAGAUGGAUUUCUGGAAACUGAUCUGGUUUAGGUUUUCCUCUUUGUUUUCUUCUUCCACUGUGACCAUGCAAGUGAGGCUAAAGGUGGAACAGUUAUCUUGCAACUCUAAGGUGACAGGCAGGAAGUCUGAAGCCAACACACUAAGGAUGGUUGCAGUCUAUCUUAGAGAUGCUGCACAACCUGGAUUUUCUACCCCCAGACUUCUUGAUUAUUAGAAGAAUAACCGCAUUCAUCUAAACCGCUACUAAUCUUACUCUUGAUAUCUAGUCUAAGAGACCCUUAAUUGUUACCACAACCAAAAUUCAUUUCGCCCUGUACUCCCAAGGUCUGCCUCUCCAGCGUUCUCCAUCUUAGUAAUGCAGCACCAUCUGCCCGAUCACUUACACGAAACCCUGGUGGUCCACGUGACAUCUCAUUCUUUUCAUCCACCAAAUAUAUCACCAAGUGCUGCCAACCUUCAUCUCUUCGACAUUUCUCCUGUCUACCUUUCUCACAGCUAUUUCCCCCUUUAAGCCACUAUCACAUCUCCUCUCAGGCCCAGAACUCAAUUUUUGUCUGCCUCUAAUCCAUUCACUACAAAGCAGGAUUUUAAAGCCAAAUCAUGUCACUCCCCUUCUUACAAGCCCUGAAGUCUCCCACUGCAUCUUAAAUAGUCCAAAACUCUGAAUGCGGCAAGCAAGAUCCUACAUAAAUAUUUCCCAAACUGUAUUCAGAGAAUAAUCUGCAGCAGAAACACCUGAGGUGCUUAUUAAAAAUGUAGACAUUAAACCAAUCUCUGAGGUUGUGCCUUAAGAUUCUGCAUCUUAAAGUUAGGACACACUAACAGUUCAAAUGUACAUUAAGACGCAAAGCCUACCUUACCUCACGUGGUCUCUGGAGACUCAUCCAGGGCCAGUCUCCAGCCACUUUGCCUCACCCCUCCUCCCAUCAUUUUUGCCUUCUUCCACCGUCACCACGUGCUCCUUCCUGUCCCUGGGCCUUCCGGGCAAACUAUCGCAUUAACCCUCACACCCUCCCUCUAACUCAUCCAGAACUUAACUAUCACCUUUCAGAAAAAACCAACCAUACCUACUCAACUGACAAAAUGUUUGUUUUUUGCUAUACCCUCUGCUGGCACUCUGUAAGUUUCUGUCAUUUCUUUUAUUUGCUUAUUUCUUAAAGAAAUAAAAUGUUAUAGAUAUA